RNAcentral lists this ribosomal RNA (253 nucleotides) under uncultured bacterium. RNAcentral's name for it is "partial 16S ribosomal RNA". It matches the Rfam family "Bacterial small subunit ribosomal RNA", at positions 524 to 776 of the family's 1533-position model. The record is from RNAcentral.
UACGUAGGGUGCAAGCGUUAAUCGGAAUUACUGGGCGUAAAGCGUGCGCAGGCGGCUUUGCAAGACAGAUGUGAAAUCCCCGGGCUUAACCUGGGAACUGCAUUUGUGACUGCAUGGCUGGAGUGCGGCAGAGGGGGAUGGAAUUCCGCGUGUAGCAGUGAAAUGCGUAGAUAUGCGGAGGAACACCGAUGGCGAAGGCAAUCCCCUGGGCCUGCACUGACGCUCAUGCACGAAAGCGUGGGGAGCAAGCAGG